CCACAGCAUGUGCUUAAAGAGGAGGAAAGGGGAUAAAUUGAAAACCAGCCCCAGUAGGCUAGAAACCCCCAGCAAGCAAUUUUGUCCACCGACCAAUUAUGGAGGCGUAGAGCAAGAAAAGGGGAAAAGAGAAAAAUCAUCCGCCAGAAAGGUGCCUUCUACCACCAUGAUUGAAACUAACUAAAUCCUUUUGUCUGCUGCAGGAAAACAAAGGAUUGAUAAUGGCAGCAAGACGCAACGCCAGGGAAAUCACCAAAAACCGGGGCAGAAUUUUUUUUUACCGAUCGUCAAAAUUUCUCGGAAGAACGGGGAAACAAUCUCAAAUACAUUUUAAGUUCUAGGUCGCCCACCAGUAUAAUGCGGGAAUACAUUUAAGUUCUAGGUCGCCCACCAGUAUAAUGUGGGAAUACAUUUAAGUUCUAGGUCGCCCACCAGUAAAAUGCAGGAAUACAUUUAUGUUCUAGGUCGCCCACCAGUAUAAUGCGGGAAUACAUUUAAGUUCUAGGACGCC
This 511-nucleotide long non-coding RNA is filed under the name Nicotiana tabacum (common tobacco). RNAcentral describes it as "long non-coding RNA (NTAB_LNC011381)". The record is from RNAcentral. Lineage: Eukaryota; Viridiplantae; Streptophyta; Magnoliopsida; Solanales; Solanaceae.